RNAcentral lists this long non-coding RNA (927 nucleotides) under Nicotiana benthamiana. RNAcentral's name for it is "long non-coding RNA (NBEN_LNC015034)". The record is from RNAcentral. Lineage: Eukaryota; Viridiplantae; Streptophyta; Magnoliopsida; Solanales; Solanaceae.
AAUACAUUAAUUGAAGAAAAUAAAAGGAAGGAUGACUAACAUCCAGCUCCAUGAGGUGAUAUUUUAAGGACACUAAGACCUUGGGUUGUGCAUCUUUUGUUGGAUCCCGCGGACUUUGAGGAUAUUGCUUUCUUUUUCAUUCAGCGCUCACGUGUAUUUCUAUGCCUCCAAUUAAUCAACUAAACAGCUGACUCCUGAAAGCUAAAAUUAAGAGCCAAAAUGACAAUUUUUUUUAAGCCUUUGGAACAAAUUAUUCUUAUAAUUCACUGACCAAUGAUUUUUUAUCCUUUUCUUUAAAUCUUCUAACCCAUGCAUAAUCAGUAAAUUAUCAAUUGAUUUUAAAUCAUAAUCUUAUGUUGGUAAAGUAGUUUCACCUGAUACUACAACAACGUAACUAAGAUUCAAUUCUAAACAAGUUGGGAUUGAUUAUAUAAAUUCUCAUUGUCUAUUUUUCUCCAUUUAAAUUUAUCAUAGACCAGCAUUAUAAAAAUAAAAAUAAAAAGUAUUAAAAGUUCUUUAUAGUUUUCAAUUUGCAUAAAAAUCUCACAAUAUCCUUCUCAGUUUCCACCCAUGGGUAUAUUGUUGUUGUAGCAGGGGCGAAACCACGUUGGGUUAUUGCAGAAUGUAAUCUCCCUUCUUGAUGAGUUAGUUAUUAAUUAAAAAGAAAAGGCAGAAGAGAUAAACGAACAGAAGAAAAAGAAAAAGAAAGCUAAUAUUAGUGUGUCAAUAAUAAGAGACCAGUUUAAGUGUCUUUUAUUGCGUCUAUAAUGUUGGAAGAGGAUUGCUAUUAAUAUUUGGAGGGAGACUUUCAGGUUAAGGGAAUUUUGGAAGAGUACAAAGAUUUUGGAGAAGAGAAACUUUUAAUACUCAAACUUGUUUUUGAUUUUUUUGGCUUGAUAUGUUGUGUGUUGUGUGUUAUACAAAUGC